GCUCAGGACGAACGCUGGCGGCGUGCCUAAUACAUGCAAGUCGUGCGGACCUUUUAAAAGCUUGCUUUUAAAAGGUUAGCGGCGGACGGGUGAGUAACACGUGGGCAACCUGCCUGUAAGAUCGGGAUAACGCCGGGAAACCGGGGCUAAUACCGGAUAGUUUUUUCCUCCGCAUGGAGGAAAAAGGAAAGRCGGCUUCGGCUGUCACUUACAGAUGGGCCCGCGGCGCAUUAGCUAGUUGGUGGGGUAACGGCYCACCAAGGCAACGAUGCGUAGCCGACCUGAGAGGGUGAUCGGCCACAUUGGGACUGAGACACGGCCCAAACUCCUACGGGAGGCAGCAGUAGGGAAUCUUCCGCAAUGGACGAAAGUCUGACGGAGCAACGCCGCGUGAGUGAAGAAGGCCUUCGGGUCGUAAAACUCUGUUGCCGGGGRAGAACAAGUGCCGUUCGAACAGGGCGGCGCYKACG
This 470-nucleotide ribosomal RNA is filed under the name Heyndrickxia coagulans. Its description in RNAcentral is "bacterial SSU rRNA". It matches the Rfam family "Bacterial small subunit ribosomal RNA", at positions 22 to 474 of the family's 1533-position model. Lineage: Bacteria; Bacillati; Bacillota; Bacilli; Caryophanales; Bacillaceae. The record is from RNAcentral.